RNAcentral lists this ribosomal RNA (36 nucleotides) under Triatoma infestans. RNAcentral describes it as "partial 28S ribosomal RNA". The record is from RNAcentral. Lineage: Eukaryota; Metazoa; Arthropoda; Insecta; Hemiptera; Reduviidae.
AAGAGAUGCGCAAUCAUUUUUUCGACCUCAGAUUAG